GUUUUUUAGCAGACUGUAUUUUCAUUAUUAGGAGAGAAUAGUAAACUGAUCUUUGAAAGUCAUACACCAGUAUAAAUAAAAACUUCACCACCCUAAAUUUAGCACACUCUUUCACUUUAAAUGGAAACAGUGUCACGAUAUCUUACCUACCAAGUGAAGGCCUUGUUCCUAUUAAAAGGGUGAGUGUGAGAAUCCAGGGCUACAUAGUGAUCCCCACACUCGACUGGUAAAACCUUUGUGACAGUUAUUUCAGGGUUAAGGCAGAAUUUUGAAGUAUUAGGUGAUCGAUUCCGUUUUAUUUUUUUUCCUUUCAGGAUUCUAAAGGAAAACAUUCUCUAUUAUCUGUUAUAGGUCCUCAGAACGGUUGGAAUGACCCUCCGGCUUUGAACAGAGUACCCAAAAAGAAGAAGAUGCCUGAAAACUUCAUGCCUCCUGUUCCCAUCACAUCACCAAUCAUGAACCCAUUGGGUGACCCCCAGUCACAGAU
This 487-nucleotide small RNA is filed under the name Pongo abelii (Sumatran orangutan). RNAcentral's name for it is "retained intron". The record is from RNAcentral. Lineage: Eukaryota; Metazoa; Chordata; Mammalia; Primates; Hominidae.